Molecule: long non-coding RNA, 6305 nt
Organism: Bactrocera neohumeralis
Lineage: Eukaryota; Metazoa; Arthropoda; Insecta; Diptera; Tephritidae
Exons: 3
Source: RefSeq, a predicted model, not a curated record
CUUAUUUUUCCCAGAAAUACGUUUGUAAAAAAGGAUCUUUUUCUUAUUAUCUUAUUUUUCCCAGAAAUACAUUUGUAAACAAAAGGAUCUUUAUCCAUUUUUUAUUUUCCACAUAAAAGAUUUAAACAGUUCAAGGGCUCAAAACAUGGGCUACAUCAGCUACCUACCCAAAUGCUACCUUCGCAAAUGAUAAAAUAAAUUUUUCAAGAGCUCAAAGCAUGCGCUACAUCAGCUCGAACCUACCUACCCUACGCCUUUGCGCAAAUGAUUAUCUUAUGAUAACAAAUGCCCACAUACAGAUUUGGCAAUGGCAAAAGCAAUAGAUUUGACAGUUCGCAAGACAUAGAUUUUAUCCUGUCGAGAUGCCCCGUUAGCUCGUACAUACAUAUUCGUGCAACAUAGAAGAGAGCGCAUGUCAAAUCGUAGAUAGCGCCUUAGUGCAUGCAUAUGUAUGUAUGUACCAGUGCACAUGCCAAAGCAAACAUUUGUAAUUUGUAAUAUUCGUCAUUCUCUUAUUGUCAUAGAUAACUUAAUUAGAAUCUCUUUUCUUGCUCUCUCGCUUGCAGCUGAUCUGUUUUCUGAGCUGGCAACAAAACACAAUCAGGGUGCCGUCAACCAGCAGUUAGUGAAAAAGGCGGGAUGCCAGAAAAGCAGCGCUAUAAUUACUUGACGAAAUUAGUGUGAAAUGAAACUGUGCGAACAUAUUUUGGCAAAAUAAAUGUUUAUGUCAACUAAUUAAUGAUUUUGCAUUUUAGCAUUUACAUAUAUAUGUAUGUAUGCAUUUUCAAAGUGUUUAAUUUAGUGUUUUGUAUAAUUUAUUAAAUACCCAAGUUAAUAUUUUUCAGCAGUGGCAUCAUUGGCAAAUGUUAUAAAAAAUUCGAGUUUUGACAGCUCUCUCUCGAACCAAAGAGUCUCGUAUCAAGUUAUCUAUGCUUAUUGUCAUUUUGCUACCGAGCAGACAACAUUGUUGUAGUUAGAUUUCGCACUUGCGCCUUCGCGUAUGUGGGUAUCUAUGUAACGAAAGCAAAUUACAGAAACAUUUGUAAUUAUUCAUUCUCUUAAAUAUAUGCUCUUUUCUGUAGAAGCGCUGCUUAUAUUAGCUUAAUGUAAAAAUUGAAGAACUUUAAACGCAAAUAUAUCAAAAGUGGUUCAAUGAAUUUAAAAUCUGUAAAAUUUGUGCAAAGUUUCAGAUCGCACACUUUAAUUUGAUGUAUUAUUUGUCACUGUACGUUUUGUAGAUCUCUGGAAAUAAGCGCCUUGUCUUAGAAUAAUAUAUAGAUAUAGAUGUUGGUUGCGCAAGUCGUACCCCACAGUUGAAUGCCAUACAUCCAAACCGGUUUUAUGAUUGCGUUGUAAAACGCGACUUUGCUGUCUAGGCUAAGUUUAUAAUUUUUGUUUAAAAGCCAAUUAAAAUUUGCUACUCUUAAUUCAUGCAACUUAUUUUACUCGCAUAUAUCUUCGCCACGUGAGCCUUCGGUCUAGGUGAAUCCCAAGAUAAGUUACUUAAUUCGCUUGGGGUACUAGAACAUUGUUUACUUUAACUGUCAAUCACGUUCCUGGUCUUAGCGAGAAUGUAACUUGCUUGCAUUUUUGCUCAUUAAUAUUUAGACGCUAGUUGGCCAGUCUUCGACAACAGUUAAGUGCUGCUCUAAUACUUUUGAUGCUCCAAUGGGGCAUUUGUCACGGCUUACUAAAGCUGUGUCAUCCGCGAAAAUGGAUGCCAAUACGUUCUUCUAAUAUGAAGUCUGCUACUUUAACUAUAAAUUUCCUGUUUCUUAAAUGUGACUCCAAAGUUUUACGCAAUUCGUAAGGUAAAACGGUUUUGGUUUUUCAUAAAAGGUCUUCAUGCUAGACCUUAUCGAACGCCUGAGCUACAUCUAGAGAAAUAGCUGAACAGUACUCUCUGUGCUCGAAAGCUUUCCUGAUUUUUUUCGUAAUUAUAUUUAAUUGCUCUACAAUGCCAUGUUUAGCACGAAAGCCGAAUUGGUGCGUUGGAAUUAUAUUAUUAUCGUGGAGGAAAGGAGUCAUCUUUCAUAAUAACACUUUUUCAAAUAUUUUAGAAAUACUGGGUAAGAGACUUAUUGGUCUGUAGGACGACGGCUGUGUUAAGUCUUUCCCAGGUUUAUCUACCAUGUUGAUGUGCUACUUUUUCCACGAAAUUGGAUAGUAUACGAAACCAAGAAUUGCAUUAAAGAGCAAGGAGAGCACCGUUAUAGCAAUAUUUGGUAACUCAAUUAGCAUUUUUGGGGUAAUAUUACCGUGCCCUGGUGCCUUUUUCGAAUUUAGCUCUUUUAUGAUUCUAGUAACUUCAGAAGUCGAAGUCCUAAUAGACACAAGCGACUAGUUAGCAUUACUAGGCAAAGAUUGCAACUUAAAGUUUUUUUUUGAGCACUGCGUGCCCAAUUAUCAUUCAACUGCCUUAGAGGCAUUGCUAGAAUUCGGACACAGCUUCUUUCUAUAAUUUUCAGUGCUGCGUUCUUCCAUACGUUAAGCGCUUUUUUUUAACUUACGUAUAGCAGAUUUCAGUUGAAGCAUAGUUGAAUGGGAGCGACUUAACUGCCAUUCACGUCUAGCUUGCCUUUUCUCAUUUACAAGUUUUUCAAUUUUAUUAUUAGUGAUCUUUCUAAAAAUAACUGGUUUAUUGUUUCAUUUUGGUAUUGCCAAUACAGCUGCGUUAGUUAUUACAUCAUUAAGUUCUCUUAUAUUGCAUUUAUUUUCCAAUCAAUAUUUAUGUGGCUACUGGUAUAUUUUCUAUCCAUCAACAAGUUAGUUUUAUGAGAUGUUAGAGAAACUUUUGGCCCAUGAGCUGUUCGUAUAACUUUAUUAGUACAGGUAAAUGAUCAGAUGAUAAGUCUAUACAUGUAUCAGCUGUCAAAAGCGAUCUAUCUAUAUUUGUGACUACAGCUGUCAUAAGCGAUCUAUCUAUAUUUUUGACUACAGCAAAAUCUAUUUAGUCUGGUAUUUUUUUUUCUAUCACUGGGCUAGUAAAUCGGCUUACCAGAAGAUAUGAUGUCGCUUAUUCAUAAUAGUGUCUUUUCGGAUUAAUAAGACGUGAGCCCCAGUACGUUUGUUUUGCGUUGUAAUCUCCAUCUGCUAGAAAUCUUUGACCUAGCGUUCCAAAAAAGUCUUUAAAUUCGCUUUGUAGCUUGUAACUGUGCUGUAGCAUAAGAUUCGAGAGCAUAAUGGUUUAACCGAUUUUUAACCUACACUCCGUGCACGAUGCGCUUUUCCAUCCGGAUGAUUUGUGACAUAGAGCCUAAUCCCGGUAUAUUGAAAUUAUUUUUAUUUAUAAGAUUAGAUUAUGAUGUACGAAUUACAUAUAUAUUUUUUUCAGACAGAAAUCUAAUGAUCUCUAAUUUAUGUUGGUUGACACCGUGAGCAUUCCAUAUACAGAUAUACAGAUAGUACGCUCAUUUCUUACUUAAUAAAUUUUGCAACAUUUGAUUAUGUGAUUUUAUUAAAUCUUGUAUCAUAUUUUGCAUGGUAGGCAUAAAUUGUGUCAUACUUUGUGUAAGAUUUAAAAUCAUAGUUUCAAUACCUCCAUUUUUAGGAUGUUGCGGCAGUUGCAUUUGUAGAGUGCUGCCUUUCACUACUUUUGCAUAACUUCCUUGCAUAGCAUUAUUCUUAACAGUAAUAGGAUUUGAACUUUUAUCUGAGGUUGCUAUAAUUUCAUUACGGGGUGUUUGUAACAUUUCGUUACGACGUGCUUGAAUGCCCUGUAUAUCUUUGAUUUCAAAUCUUUGUACAUAUACAGGACAACCCCUGUAGUUAGCAGUGUGAUUUCAUCCACAAUUGCUGCAUUUCUUUUUAAUCCUCUUUUUUAAGAGUACAUUUUGAAGUAGGAUAUAGAUUACCACACAGACACCGCGUAGAGUGCAAUAUGCUUUCGUGUGUCCAUACUCUUUGCAGUCUGUACAUUGUACUGGACCAUUUCUCUUAUGUGGUUCCUCAACAAUGAUUCUGCGAUGGAGCAGAUAUUUUAAAUUAUAAAACAGGUGUAUUUAAUUUUUCUUUGGUUGCUUAGAAUUUGACAUCAAAUCUAUUUUGAACAUUGGUUAAAAAUAUUUACUACUGGUUUAACCCUUUCAGACCGUGAUGCAUCAAUUGUGCGGUCAAGUUUCAAUGUCAAGAUCUCUACUAUUUAUGCACGUAUGUUAAAAAGGCCGAAAUGCAUCGAUUGUGCUGAUUAUUGUGUAUCUUUUCUUUUUGCACUGUUUCGCUAUUCGGUUUACCGUUAUCCACGUGGUGAUGAAAUUCUUAAGUCGUAUUUCGAUUUUUUCAAAGAGAGCUGCGGCAGUAAGUUGUAUUUAAUAUUAUUAAAAUAUUAUUAGUGAAAAAAUAGUGAAGAGUGCACAUUAUAACUAAAAAAAAUAGUAAGUUCUAAUAUUUAAAAUGAAUAGGAGUGAUUCAAUGCAAAGUAAGUAUGUUUUAGCCGUACUUUUCAACAAGUGCAUCAAUUGUGCGUAUCAGGUCUUAAGUAACUAAACACAAGUGCUUUUUAUUGCAUUUCAUUUCAAAUAAAUGCUUACAGAUGAUGAUAUUUUGGCAGUGCUAGAGGCCUCAGACGCCCCCGAUUUUAGCAGCGAUGAUGAAGAACGAGACAAAAAUUAUGAGCCAUCGGACAGCACCGACAAUGAAGGCGAGGAAGAAGCAGAUAUUGAAAGAAACGUAGGUGCAGUGCUUCCUGAGUUAGGUCACGAAGAAAAUAAUGAACCGAGUUCAAGUCGUCGACCGAUUUGGAGAAGGAAAUCUUUUUGCCAACCAAUUAUCGAUAUGCCUGUUGCAGAGGAAGUUGUAAGUCGAAAAAUUGUAGACUAUGCAGUAGAUACGCCCACACCUCUAGAAUAUUUCGCUAAAUAUUUUGAUAACGUAUUUUUCGAAAAUGCGGCUAAUUGCACUAAUAGAUACGAAUUUGCGAAUGCAGGUGGCAUGUUAAAAACAACCACUAAGGAAAUCAAAAACUUUUUUGGAAUGCACAUUGCAAUGGGUUGCAUUCACUUUCCUAGAAUUCGAAUGUAUUGUUAGAACAAAUAUAAAAUUCCACUGGUAGCGGAAACAAUGACUCGCGACAGAUUUUUUAAGUUAAGAGAAGCAUUCCACGUCGUUUUUCCAAGAGACGUUCCUGAAACCCAAAGAAGACACAAUAUUUUUUGGAGAGUGCAACCAAUUAUUGAUGCAGUGCGGAAUGUUGUUUAAAAAUUCCAAGAAAAAGGGGGGAGCAUAUUCCAUAGACGAACAAAUGAUACCCUUUACUGGUCGUUGUCCAGUUCGUCAAAGUUUGCCUAACAAACCAAGAGGCGUUGGAUUGAAAAACGAAGUAUUGACCACAUCAGAUGGACUUGUUCUCGAUUUCGAGAUUUAUCAAGGCAAGACAACACCUCUACCAGAGGAAAAUAUUGGAAUCGGUCCCGCGUUUGCUUUGCGUCUGACACAAACCUUACCAAAAGGGUCAAAAGUAUUUUUUGACAGAUACUUUACUACUUUGCCGCUGUUAGAAAAGCUUCUGGAAAAUGGAAUUUACGGAACUGGAACAAUUAUGCGAAACCGCAUAAAAUGUGUCAGUUUGACCAACGACAAAAAAAUGAAAAGAGGAGAUAUGGAGGAAUUUUGUGAUCCAAAUGACAAAGUUGUCGUUGUACAAUGGAAGGACUCGAAGUCAGUUUUACUAACCUCAACCGCAUUUGGCUGCAGUCCAGUGGAUGUCGUUCGUCGUUGGUGCAAAAAAGAAAAAAAAAUCAUCCAAGUUGCUCGUCCAAAUAUAGUCCAGCACUACAAUAAGUUAAUGGGUGGUGUGGACAUUUGCGACCAACAAAUGGAAGCGUACCGAACAUUUUUUAAAACCCGAAAAUGGACACUAAAGGUAAUUAUUCAUUUCAUUGACUUAGCGUGUUGCAAUGCUUGGAUGGAGUAUCGUAUUUUUUGUCGGGAAAUUAGAAUGCCACCAAAGGCUAUACACGAUUUACUAAGUUUUCGGCUUGCGCUAGCGGAGCUUUGGUAGCAGAUCAAACUAAAACGAACGUGGAGUGGUGCUCUGGAUCAGAAUCAGGCGACGUUGAUUUAACUCCACCUUCUAAACGAUACCGUCCAGCAGACCAACCAUGCCCUGAAAAGCGGCUAGAUGGUAUCAAUCACUGGCCAGAAGAAUCUGACCUAAAAUCAGCCCGUAUGUGCCGUCGAAAAGAGUGUAAGUCUCGUACGCGCACGCGAUGCACCAAGUGCGAUGUAUAUUUAUGCUUAAAUAAGAAAAAGAAUUGUUUCACUAUUUAUCACACGAAAAAAUAAAUAAAAAGUUUAAAUAGAUGGCA